RNAcentral lists this long non-coding RNA (916 nucleotides) under Gallus gallus (chicken). The record is from RNAcentral. Lineage: Eukaryota; Metazoa; Chordata; Aves; Galliformes; Phasianidae.
CCGCCCCCGGCAGCGGCACACUGGAACAGGUUGCUUAAGGAGGUUGUGGAUGCCCCAUCCCUGGAGGCAUUCAAGGCCAGGCUGGAUGUGGCUCUGGGCAGCCUGGUCUGGUGGUUGGCAACGGUUGGUGAAAGGUUUCUGUAGGUCGGUGGAAGUCAUAGGAAUGAAGGACAGCUGGACCUUCGAGCACAGAGCGAUACAACAACAAACUGCACCUGGCACAGAGGCACAGGAUUUCUAAGAAAGGCUCACGACUUCAGGGAACACAGCCAACCCACCCCUACUUUCGUCAGCCACCGCACACACGUGGCAUUCAUCAUACAGCAGCCUCACUCUCAGCUCCUGUUCGGAAUGCUCACUGUUCGUGAAGUCUUCACGGAGGAUUCUCCAUCUGAUUUCAGAAGGAAACAGCUGGACUGCAAGAAACGCACGUGACACGUCCAAGAACUACAGCCUUCGGAUCUACAAAGCUAUUGCAGCCUCACACGUUAAGGACCACCCUGCUCUGCUAUGACACAGUCAUAUCCACCUACUGAGCAUGCAGAAGCUGAACAAUUUGUAAGCUGGGCCCUAUCUUUUAGAGAGACAACUGGCCUUAACUAACAAAUUAUUGAUGACUGUGUAAUUCUCCAUCAGAUUAAUAUGUCCCAGUUAAUUAUCUUAACUACAAAGAAUUAUUGGAUGCUAUUUACACUGUGAACUUUGCUGACACCAGAGCCUAAUCUUUCACCAUGUAUUUGCCAAACAGAUUAAAAAUCCCCCUGGUACUGAGCAUCUCAUGCCAGUACCGGUGCUUGCAGGUUGUUCCAAGCAGCUUUUUGUCUUCUCCAUGCCAUGCUGAAACGCUGAAUCUUCUUCCUUCUCAGCCAUAGUUUGCCCCAAGUUCUGCCCAAGUGGAUGGCAACCUUGAGAUCUC